UACAGAGGUCUCAACCGUUGUUCGGAUUCAUUGGGCGUAAAGCGUGCGCAGGCGGUUUCGUAAGUCUGUCGUGAAAUCCCCGGGCUUAACCUGGGAAUGGCGAUGGAGACUGCGAGGCUAGAGUUUGGCAGAGGGGGGUAGAAUUCCACGUGUAGCAGUGAAAUGCGUAGAGAUGUGGAGGAACACCGAUGGCGAAGGCAGCCCCCUGGGUCAAAACUGACGCUCAUGCACGAAAGCGUGGGGAGCAAACAGG
This 253-nucleotide ribosomal RNA is filed under the name uncultured bacterium. Its description in RNAcentral is "partial 16S ribosomal RNA". It matches the Rfam family "Bacterial small subunit ribosomal RNA", at positions 524 to 776 of the family's 1533-position model. The record is from RNAcentral.